GAGAAAGAGAUAGAUAGUAGUGUGGGAUGGAGAGAGAGAUCAGUGUGUGAAUGAGAGAGAGACAGAGUGUGGUGAUGGCAGACCCGUGUGUGUGUGUGAUUUUGUCAAUUCGCCACCUGCCUUCUUGACACGACACGAGCGAACGGCGAUGCGAGGCGCUUUGCUCUUCACCUUGCGGUGGACAGCUCCGUCAGCCCCCUCCGUCUCACCGCACACCCACGCGGUUGUCUUUGUCGAAUACAAAGGGGAUCCCGUCCCAGACCACGUGGCUUCUGACGACCGCGUGGCUUCGCGUGGCUCCGCGUGGCUCCGACCGACCUCCGUGCGAAACGGCUCAACGAGGAGGUUCAUUGUGAGACAUCGCGCAGCCAGGGCAGAGCAUGUGACGCCCACCACCUCGUGACAAGUGCGGGCUACCCGGGGCCCCCUCGGGGCGGCACUCGAAAUAUGAAAGUGAUAAAGAGACGACUCGACACCAUGAGCUCCCUCGUGACACCCAGCCUGGUGAGGUGCCACCCACACCCCCGGGACAUCCACCCUGGUGAGGUGCUACCCACACCACGUGACACCCACCCUGGUGAGGUGCCACCCAGACCCCCGUGACACCCACCCUGGUGAGGUGCCACCCACACCCCGUGACACUCAGCCUGGUGAGG
Petromyzon marinus (sea lamprey) is the source of this 656-nucleotide non-coding RNA. The record is from RefSeq and is a predicted model, not a curated record. NCBI's taxonomy places the organism in Eukaryota, Metazoa, Chordata, Hyperoartia, Petromyzontiformes, Petromyzontidae.